AUUGAACGCUGGCGGCAUGAUUUACACAUGCAAGUCGAACGGUAACAGGCCGCAGGGUGCUGACGAGUGGCGAACGGGUGAGUAAUGCAUCGGAACGUGCCCAGUCGUGGGGGAUAACUACUCGAAAGAGUAGCUAAUACCGCAUACGAUCUAUGGAUGAAAGCGGGGGACCGUAAGGCCUCGCACGAUUGGAGCGGCCGAUGUCAGAUUAGGUAGUUGGUGGGGUAAAGGCUCACCAAGCCAACGAUCUGUAGCUGGUCUGAGAGGACGACCAGCCACACUGGGACUGAGACACGGCCCAGACUCCUACGGGAGGCAGCAGUGGGGAAUUUUGGACAAUGGGCGCAAGCCUGAUCCAGCAAUGCCGCGUGCAGGAAGAAGGCCUUCGGGUUGUAAACUGCUUUUGUACGGAACGAAACGGCUCUGGUUAAUACCCGGGGCUAAUGACGGUACCGUAAGAAUAAGCACCGGCUAACUACGUG
Molecule: ribosomal RNA, 482 nt
Filed under: uncultured bacterium
Lineage: Bacteria
Description: partial 16S ribosomal RNA
Rfam family: Bacterial small subunit ribosomal RNA
Source: RNAcentral